GAGGCGACCUCGAUGAGGCCGGUUUUCUGCGUUCGUGUUCUCAGCUGCUGGCAGGCAGUCAAGUGGGGGCGUCGGCGUCGCAAAACGUGAGUGAUGACUCAUCCGGAGGUUUUCAUUAUAUUAGGCAGCGCGUGCGGAGCGUGGACUCGGCGCACAAACCAGUGGCGGCACAGUGAACUACUCGUCAGUUUUGUUCUUCAGAGGGAAAGAGCAUCAGCCUAUGCAGCGACGCCAUGUCCGGCGAUCGAUCCCUGGCCGCACACGUGCAGGAUGCCAGCUUGGCUCGCUCCUCGCUGGCGCUGAUAGAUGGAUCAGUGUUCUUCAGUGCAGCACGACGAGUGGCGCAAGGGGUUAGAUUACCUGAUGUCAUGCAUGACUCAUGCAGGGAAUCUGCGGGAUGGGCACUCCUGAGUCCUGACUCACUCACUCAUUUGUAUUUUGGUCGAUGUGUAUGGACCAUGUUAUUGCUGCUACCUCCUUUAAUCCUUUUGUAUGUAGUACUUGCAUGUAGUUGCUUUCAGAUCAAAGAUUUGUCGCUUCUAUGAUCCCGUGAACUUCUCCCGGCUGUCAGGUUUUCAAA
Long non-coding RNA from Panicum hallii, 580 nucleotides. RefSeq lists it as uncharacterized. The transcript has 3 exons. NCBI's taxonomy places the organism in Eukaryota, Viridiplantae, Streptophyta, Magnoliopsida, Poales, Poaceae. The record is from RefSeq and is a predicted model, not a curated record.